This 777-nucleotide ribosomal RNA is filed under the name uncultured bacterium. RNAcentral describes it as "bacterial SSU rRNA". It matches the Rfam family "Bacterial small subunit ribosomal RNA", at positions 94 to 863 of the family's 1533-position model. The record is from RNAcentral.
AGUGGCGCACGGGUGAGUAACGCGUAAGUAAUCUACCCCGGCAUCUGGAAUAACUCACCGAAAGGUGUGCUAAUACCGGAUACGCUGGAAACAGGAAAGGUGGCCUCUGAUUCAAGCUACCGUGUUGGGAUGAGCUUGCGUACCAUUAGCUGGUUGGUGGGGUAAUGGCCUACCAAGGCGACGAUGGUUAGCGGGUCUGAGAGGAUGAUCCGCCACACUGGAACUGGAACACGGACCAGACUCCUACGGGAGGCAGCAGUGAGGAAUAUUGCGCAAUGGGGGAAACCCUGACGCAGCGACGCCGCGUGGAUGAUGAAGGCCUUCGGGUCGUAAAAUCCUGUCAGAUGGAAAGAAGUGUAGAGUAGUUAAUACCUGCUCUAUUUGACGGUACCAUCAAAGGAAGCACCGGCUAACUCCGUGCCAGCAGCCGCGGUAAUACGGAGGGUGCAAGCGUUGUUCGGAAUUACUGGGCGUAAAGCGCGCGUAGGCGGCCAUUCAAGUCAGAUGUGAAAGUCCACGGCUCAACCGUGGAAGUGCAUUUGAAACUGGGUGGCUUGAGUACUGGAGGGGGUGGUGGAAUUCCCGGUGUAGAGGUGAAAUUCGUAGAUAUCGGGAGGAAUACCGGUGGCGAAGGCGACCACCUGGCCAGAUACUGACGCUGAGGUGCGAAAGCGUGGGGAGCAAACAGGAUUAGAUACCCUGGUAGUCCACGCCGUAAACUAUUUCAACUAGGUGUUGGGGCGGUUAAUCGUCUCAUUGCCGGAGCUAACGCAUUAA